CUUCACUCUGGCUUGCUGAUAGUUUUAUCUUGCAGCAUUAUUCUGAACGUUGCUCUCAUUUGUAUAAGAUGUAAACUGACCUGUACACACUGUGCAGAUGAAAAGAACAGUGAUAUAUCAAAAGUGGAAUGGUCACGCAAGCAAUGCCAUGACGAGGACACACUGAAUUACGCUGCCCUGAACCUUAAGAAGCCAAAACCCAGGAGACAGAAGAAAGACGGGAAUAAUGACACUCUGUAUUCUGACCUCCGCUACAGAGAUUAUGAAUAAAGAUGCUUCUCAUUCAUGUCAGUCACACAGAGUGUUCAGGGUGUAGCUUUAAUAAUGUUCAGAGGAGGGCAGGGGAGCCAGUGCUUCUGAGACUGAAUCACGGGAUUUUACGGAGCACCGGUGCUGAGUUUGGUGUCAGUGUGUUUGGGGCGCAUUUUUACUGGAAGUGCAAAUGU
This is a long non-coding RNA of Brienomyrus brachyistius, 446 nucleotides long. RefSeq lists it as uncharacterized. The transcript is spliced from 3 exons. Lineage: Eukaryota; Metazoa; Chordata; Actinopteri; Osteoglossiformes; Mormyridae. The record is from RefSeq and is a predicted model, not a curated record.